This 24-nucleotide microRNA is filed under the name Solanum tuberosum (potato). Its description in RNAcentral is "stu-miR7989". The record is from miRBase by way of RNAcentral. Lineage: Eukaryota; Viridiplantae; Streptophyta; Magnoliopsida; Solanales; Solanaceae.
ACAAAUAAGUCCAUUACCUGAACC